ACAACAAGUUUCCUGUAUUGUCUUCUUUCUUCCUUCCAAAAUCUCUCUUUCGUCAUUCCUUUCCUAGUUUCCUGUAUUUUCUUCUUUCACUUUUUCAAAUCAAAACAACAUCUUUUCCUCACCAAUUUUUUCAUCAAAUCAACAACAACAUAAAUGGAAUAUGAAACCACAAGCACUUGAAAUGGAUGGAACAAUAACUAACCGGAACAAAAGGGGGAACACGGUGGUCGAAAAAGCAGCGGUGUAGUGCCGACGUCGGUGGAUUGCGGAAGCUUUACAAUUGCAGUUCUCUUUUGUUUUUACUCUAUUUUUCCUGUUUUUGUUUGGUGUACCCUUUCAAUUUCUAACCUUUCAUAUUUCAAUUUUGUUUUGCUGUUUUAAUUUUUAUGCCCUUUCUUUAUUCUUUGACCUUUCAAUUUUUACCUCUUAUUUUUAUUUUUUACCAAAUAAGUUUGGACCAGAGCCCGGGCAACUGCCCAGGGUAGCCCAUGUCUGCAUAAUGUACAAUUGACCAUUGGUUCUCCUUCAUCAGUGAAUUGUUUCCUAGUUACCAUUGGUGCAGGGCAGGCUAACACCCUCUUAAUUCAUGCAUUUUUAUACUGUUGCUUUAUUAUUACAUAUUUCUUUAUUUACUUUAUCCAUUUAAGUACUCCUGCAUUUACUUUUUGGAAUCUUUACAUUAAAAUACUUUUUAGCACUAAUACUUUUUCUCAAAUGUUUGACACAAAACGUCUUUUAGGAUUUUUUGAGUUUGAUCCUACAAGUAAAUUAGAACUCUUGAUCUUUUAUUAAAAACACAUGUAAAUAAAAGGGUAAUCUUCCACCUCUCAAUGGGCAUCUCAACAGUUGAUUGAAAUGGGCAAAUUUUCCCAUUUUAGGGACACGCUUGAGAAGUAGGGUCAAAAUUCAAUCCAACACACACUUUUCUCUCAACUGACCACUAUUAAAAAAAACUGUGACACAUAAAUCCCGACGGUUCUAUUGAAACCACCCUCCUUCUAAUUUUGAGACAGUUGACACAACGGUUUUAUACAACUGCCUCUUGCUUUCACAAAAUUAUAGAGAAUUUAUCUUCAAUUUUCCCCAUCUUGCUAGUAUUACUUCGAUUUGAAUUUACAAACUAGAUGGCCAUUGUUGAUACAGUUUGUCACGCAUACGUUGUCACGAACACACGGCACAACCGCUACACCGAAUAAGUUUUCAUGUCUUUGUUGGAAUAUGCUUGCAAUACUUCUUGUUAUGAAACACUUAGAUGCUUUGAGGAAGUACUUGUUCUUCUUGGGAGUUACAAAUAAAUUGAACACUACUAGAAAUACAUAGUUUAUUUGUGGAAAAUAAUCGGCAGGAAUACCUGCGGAUUUUCCGGCGACAUAGUUAAGCAAAAUAAACUUUCCUGCGAAAUAAGUUUCCCCAGAAAAUUCCACAGGAAAACCUACGGAUUUUGCUGCGGAAAUUAUAGUUUGUAUUAGAAAACAGACUACAAUCCAAAAUCCGCAGGUAAUUUUGCAGGAAAGUUUCAUGCGGAGUUUGCUGCGGAGUUAAUAAUUUGUAUCUACUUUCAGAUUUGCAGGUAAGUUCGCAUUUUUGUAUUAUAUUUUUGUUUCUUCUUAAAAUAAAAUGUUUUUUCUGAAAAAAGUUAAUAUUUUAUAAAAACAAUAGUAGUUUUAUUUUUUAAUUUUGGGUUACAAUUCAAAUUUAAUGUUUUCAAAAACAAUUUUAAUAAUAUAAUAAUAAUACUCAUCCAAUGUGCAUAAAGUUAUUUUACAAAUGCAUUCAAUCAAAUUAUAUCAUAUAGACAUUUUAAUUAUCAAGUUAUAUUUUAGAAACAUUAUAAUAUGAGUUUAUUGGAUGUAUGUGUAAAUGUUAGUGAUAAGAAAUAAUCUUAGUAUAUAUUAGUCCCAGGAGUUAAAUAAAAUUUACACUAUAUAUAUUUUUAUAUAAUUCAUAAUUAUAAAUAUUUUUAUAAAAUUAGAUUGAAAUUCUUACUUUUUCUAUUUUAUUAAGAAUUUAAUGGGAAUAUACCGACGGUUGUUUUACACCGUCACUGAAUUAUAACCAUUAAAUUUUAAGAAUAAUAAUUAUGAAUGGUUGGGAUGGACUGCCGUGUAAAUUGUAGGAAAAAAAAGUUUGGUCACAGUAAUAAGGUAUGGCUAAUUUCCACUCUAUAGCUUGUUUUUAUAUAAUGUAGUUGUUGUCUAAAACGAUGCAUCGCUGAAAAAAAUGUAACAUUAUAUGCCAUAUAUCUGUUGCUGUUUGGUAUCAGACAUGGAACUGAGUUGGAUCAUAGAGAAGUAUUCCUUUUCACAACUGGCCUUGCAGUGAUUGCAGUUCUAUAUUUCUUGAUAAAUUUGCAGCUUGAGAUGAAUCUUAGUAUCUAACUGAUAUAAGCUAUAAAAAAGCCCCUGAACUUGUUCCUCUAAGCUUAUUUGCAGUAAGAUUCAUAGUUUGGAAUAUAACUUAUUAGUUCAUUAUUUCUGAUGGAUUGAACUUACCUAACUUAUUAUUUAUUUUUCAUUUGCAGCUUGUCAUUCUGAUCACCUUUUUCCCUUUCAAUAUCAUAUACCGAUCAAGUCGUUUCUUCUUUAUCUCAUGUUUCUUAUCUUCUUUUCGGAUCAAGGUAUAAAUCCUGCUACUGCCACUGGCUCGCAACUCAAUCCAAGUAUCCGUUCGUUCAAGAUAGUUACGGAGAGUCCGCUGGUGGUGAUGUUUCUGUUUCAGUUAUAUAGUCAUUUCGUCCAAGCAAAUAUUCCUCAAUUAUUGCCUUUUAUAUGUUUCUGCUUCUCUCUCCUUGGGCUUACCCAGCAGUGUUUCUAAGAUUAGAAACUUUAAGCCUCCUUCCAGUGGCCACAAGGAAGUGGAGUUAUAUCCUACUUUACCAUGGCUAUUUUGUUGUGAAUAAUUGAAAAGGGACAGAUUUUAUCUGUUGAUCAUUAAAUAAUUUAUUUUCUUAAUCCUGUACCAAAUAUUAUCUAUCACAUGUUUACAUGUUUUAUUUUUUGUUAUUGCAGACAGUUACUUUUGUAACGUAUCUGUUGAAAAGCUAUGCUGAUUAUAUAAGGCCACAUGAAGAAAGUAUAUGUAAAAUCAUUGUGAAUUUGCUUGUAACAUGUACUGACUCUGUCCUUAUCACAAGAUUUGGUACUGUUGGAAGAAGAGACUGCAAGAAGGAUAGAAGAAGUUGUUCGAAGAAAUGUCGAGGAGAAGCUUCAGACAGAGGAAGUCAAGUUGGAAAUAGAAAGGUGCAUUGCAGAGGGAUUGAAGAAGAAGUAUGAAGAUGUUGAAGUUCAACUUGAAAAAGAAAAGCAAGAAAUGCUUGUUGAAGCUAGAAGAAAACAACAGGGAGGAAGAUGAUGAGGCUCAGGAUAUUAUACUAUACUGUGACAUGGUGACUGAUGACUUACAACAAUCAUGAAAAUCUCGGGAUGGCUAUGUUACAGAAGGUUAAAAGAUAAGAGAUUGAUGAUAAGUGACUAUAGAUAUUUGGACUAAUAUGAAUUAUGCACAUUGAAACCGUUAUACCGAAAAUGACUCAUAAAUUUGUUAUUUCUUAUUUACAAUCAUUGGCUCAUAAAUUUGUUAGAUAGUAUGAAAUUGUUUUUUGAGCUUUCUCAUCAUCGAAUUUGUAGUAUCAUCAAGGUGGGUGAAUCGAACCGGUGAUGGAUUUGAUUUGCUGCAUAUGCUGCCAAUCUUUUAUCAACAGAACCUCCAAACAGUAGGGUUUUUAUGAUUCCUUGACUACAGUAGUGCAUUCAGCUAUUUAAGAAAUUAAAGCUAAGCCACCUUUUACAUUUAUAAUUUUAGACAUAUAACUAACAAACAACCACUUGUGUAUGUCUCUUAUGCGAAUUUACCUGCAGAUUUUUAUUACCCACGAAGGUUUUAGCUGGGAACGUAAAACCACAGGAAACUGGAUUUUUAACUCAAUUCCGCAGGAGCGAUAUGGGGUAUCUUUUCAGCUUCCAAAUGUGGUAUCUUGCCUGCCCCUCUAUACCUAGAUUUCAAGUACAUAUGUUUAUAUUUGAUAGAGUCUUGUUGGCAUACUUUGUAUAAAUAGUCAAAUAGUUAUUUAGAGUAUGUAUUGUAUAAUCUAACAGAUUAUUUAUGUGAUUUUAAUAGUCAUUAUUGUCAAACAUUUGAGUUCAUAUACAAAAUGGGUGAAUUGUGGAGGUUUGAAAAUCGUUGAUUCAAAAUAAAAUUACUUUUUAAAUUAGAGUUUAAAAAUAUUUUAAAAAUAUUUAAAUAUGCAAUAGAAAGUAAAAGAGAUUAGGGAAGAAAUAACAACGCCAUAAAUUUAUAGAGGUUGGGUCUUAAAGAAAUGACAUCUUCCUCUCCUAAAAGAUUGAUCUUGAGAGUAGCCACUGUUGUAAGAGUUUUUAGAAGGUUAAGUCCACUAACCCCCUUAUACAAGAAAAUGAAAUUUCAGGCUAACUUUCAACCAAAUAAUGAAUUGAGACUUGAAGCGCUUAUUCUCCAAACCAAACAAGAAAUAGAGCUUUGAGAUUUUAGUCUCUAAGUCAAGCGAAGAUUUUGUAGAGGCUAAUUUCAAACCAAGAUGGAGUUUUGAGUUGGCUAUUCUCCGAACUUUAGACCGAGGUUUUACACAAGCUGGCCACGGAUAAAAUUGAAAUUUUUACUAGGCUGAUCUCAAACCUACUGAGUUUUUGCACAAGCUGAACUCAAAAUCGAGUGAGAUUAUAUACCAGGACGAUCUCAAACCAAUAGAGCUUUUGACCGGGCUAAGCUCAAGAAUCAUUGUGAAGAUAUUUCAUUGUUUAUUAUCCAAGAGUCCAAAAGAAAGUUUUCUUCAAUGGUAGAACUCACGAACCAAACAAAAACUUAUCUUAUUCCACAAACAAAAGAGUUUUUACAAUGGUUUAGCUCCCAACCAAAAUAAUUACUUCCUAAAGAAGAAUAAUUCACUCAAGAGAAAACUACUCUUGAUAAAUUUAUAGUUAAGCACUCACCCAAAACAAAUUUCUCACUAAACUCAAUAAGCUCUCAAAGUACUAUGGCUAAAAUAUAUAAAAAAUUGAAAAUAAUUUAGAGAUAAUUGAGAGAAAGGAAAAGGAUCCGUCCAAGCAUUAUACUUCGGUUUUUAUUAGCCGAGAUGAAAUGUCUAUCAUAAAAUGUAAAUUUGGUGGUAAAAUGUAAAUUUGUUGGUAAAAUGUACAUGGUGCCUCAACGACUUGUUCAAAAAGUGAAAUGUUUGUAUCCACUCUCAAUCUUUUCUAUUUGUAUUAUUGCUUAUGCAAGCAUCACUUUUAGACUAUAUAGUUUGUCUUCUCUUGUAUGUUUUAUCUAAAAUAAUAUUUUAAAGAACUACUAAUUAGUUAAUGAUAAAAACAGAGAGAAUGAACGAUUAAUUGUUUAAACACACACAUAACGAGUGGAGUAUUAAUUAUGAACUUUGUAUAUGGUCUAUAGUUUUUGUCAUUUAAUUGAUAGCACUCAUGGCCAAAAACCCUGCAGGCGGAUACUAAUAUCAAAAUUCAUGUACCAUGUGACUUGUGAGAGUAAGUGCAUAUCCCACUACUAGACAAACACCUUAAUCUUUCUAUACCUAAUCUUAAAAAAAUAUAAGACAAAAACUAGACAUUAGUAUAUGCAAAUCAAAGUGGAACGGGCUCAUAA
Vicia villosa (hairy vetch) is the source of this 5631-nucleotide long non-coding RNA. RefSeq lists it as uncharacterized. The transcript is spliced from 4 exons. NCBI's taxonomy places the organism in Eukaryota, Viridiplantae, Streptophyta, Magnoliopsida, Fabales, Fabaceae. The record is from RefSeq and is a predicted model, not a curated record.